CCUACGGGAGGCAGCAGUAGGGAAUAUUGGGCAAUGGAGGCAACUCUGACCCAGCCAUGCCGCGUGCAGGAAGACGGUCCUCUGGAUUGUAAACUGCUUUUGAAUGGGAAGAAUGUGCUCCUUGCGAGGGGUAAUGACGGUACCAUUAGAAUAAGCCACGGCUAACUACGUGCCAGCAGCCGCGGUAAUACGUAGGUGGCGAGCGUUAUCCGGAUUUAUUGGGUUUAAAGGGUGCGUAGGCGGCUUAAUAAGUCGGUGGUUAAAAGUAGCAGCUUAACUGUUUUACAUGCCAUCGAUACUGUUGAGCUUGAGAUAUUUGGAGGCAGCUAGAAUUUCCGGUGUAGCGGUGAAAUGCAUAGAUACCGGAAGGAAUACCAAUUGCGAAGGCAGGUUGCUACGAAUAAACUGACGCUGAUGCACGAAAGCGUGGGGAUCAAACAGGAUUAGAUACCCUGGUAGUCCACGCCGUAAACGAUGAUUACUAGUUGUUGGGGUUUAAGCCUCAGUGACCAAGGGAAACCGAUAAGUAAUCCACCUGGGGAGUACGCCGGCAACGGUGAAACUCAAAGGAAUUGACGGCNGAGACGNGCGACGACGACGACGAGGAGGAG
This 611-nucleotide ribosomal RNA is filed under the name uncultured bacterium. RNAcentral's name for it is "bacterial SSU rRNA". It matches the Rfam family "Bacterial small subunit ribosomal RNA", at positions 338 to 949 of the family's 1533-position model. The record is from RNAcentral.